UGCAGGUCUCCUGUUUCCUUUGAAGGCAGCAGAUGUCUCACAGGAUACUUGUGCAAACUUCCUGUUUUGAUCAGAUGUAGAGCAGUGAUGACUCUGUAAUAGUCUGCGAUUCUAGGAUUCGGAGAUGGCUCUGUGGUGGGAAGGAUUUUGUCCAUUGAUGCUGCGCUGUGAAAAACACCCAAGGUCGCUUGUAACCUUCAAGAGAAUGCUUCCUUCGGGAGCAGCGUGGUUCCGUAUUUGGGUUCAGGCUCAGCUCAGGCUGAGGGAAGGGAGGAGGAGUCCUCAGAGAUCAUCUCGUGUUCCACCUGUCCUGCUGUGAGCAGGGUUGCCAGCCACGAGAUCCAAGUGCCGGGAAACCCAUCCAGCCUGGCCUUGGAUGCCUCCAGGGACGGGGCAUCCGCAGCUUCUCUGGGAAAAGAAGUUACCUAGGAAUCUUUGUCCCGUGCUUCAUACACAAUGUCUUGUUUCUUCCUAGGCCAUCGUUCCAGCCCUGCCCGGGGACAGCCUGGUGACCAUUCCUGCAGUCGAAACACCUCCAAGCAGCCUGGAACUGCUUCCAGGAAGCCAGGCGGACUCCGUGGCACAGUCGGAGGUCUCAAGUGCACCAUCCUAUUCCUCACAAGACGCAGCUGAGACACAGCAGCUGAGCUGCGCAGAGGCGGGGGAAGCACUCGUCUCUGAAGAGGACGAUCUCGAGCAGUUCGUGAUGGAGAUCACAGGAGAACUGGAAGGAGAAAUUGAGGUGGACGCUGAGAAGGAUGUGGACGAGCUCCUUCUGGAACUGUCUGACAUCAUUGACAGUGUAACACCAUAGACUGAUUGUCUAUUUUACAACCAACAGCAACAACCACCAAUUAAAACCAACCCUGUUCCUUUUCAA
This is a long non-coding RNA of Gallus gallus (chicken), 880 nucleotides long. RefSeq lists it as uncharacterized. The record is from RefSeq and is a predicted model, not a curated record. Lineage: Eukaryota; Metazoa; Chordata; Aves; Galliformes; Phasianidae. The transcript is spliced from 2 exons.